AAAUAUAUAGUAUAACAAAUUACAUUUAAUUUCCAAUUAAAAAAUUUAAUAAAAAUUAAUAUAUUUA
RNAcentral lists this transfer RNA (67 nucleotides) under Bombus breviceps. Its description in RNAcentral is "tRNA-Gly". The record is from RNAcentral. Lineage: Eukaryota; Metazoa; Arthropoda; Insecta; Hymenoptera; Apidae.